This 440-nucleotide ribosomal RNA is filed under the name uncultured bacterium. Its description in RNAcentral is "partial 16S ribosomal RNA". It matches the Rfam family "Bacterial small subunit ribosomal RNA", at positions 338 to 795 of the family's 1533-position model. The record is from RNAcentral.
CCUACGGGAGACAGCAGUGGGGAAUAUUGCACAAUGGGCGAAACCCUGAUGCAGCGACGCCGCGUGAAGGAAGAAGUAUUUCGGUAUGUAAACUUCUAUCAGCAGGGAAGAAAAUGACGGUACCUGACUAAUAAGCCCCGUCUAACUACGUUCCAGCAGCCGCGGGAAUACGUAGGUGGCAGCCGUUAUCCGGAUUUAAUGGGUGGAAAGGGAGUGCAGGCGGUUUAGCAAGUCAGAAGGGAAAGCCCGGGGCUCAACUCCGGGACUGCUUUUGAAACUGUUGAACUAGAUUGCAGGAGAGGUAAGUGGAAUUCCUAGUGUAGCGGUGAAAUGCGUAGAUAUAAGGAGGAACACCAGUGGCGAAGGCGGCUUACUGGACUGUAAAUGACGCUGAGGCUCGAAAGCGUGGGGAGCAAACAGGAUUAGAUACCCGAGUAGUC